RNAcentral lists this long non-coding RNA (438 nucleotides) under Oryza sativa Indica Group (long-grained rice). RNAcentral describes it as "lncRNA OsLaMu_06g0000410". The record is from RNAcentral. Lineage: Eukaryota; Viridiplantae; Streptophyta; Magnoliopsida; Poales; Poaceae.
AUAUGUCUUAUUUGGAAAAAAAAAGGCAUUGUUUUUCCAGAGUUUGGGUGUGCUUAUGAGGUAGCAAGUACAUACUUUUUGACAGUCGAGGCUUCUGGUGAGCUGUCGGAAGAGUCUUAUCGGUUGAUCCAACAGAAGAUGUGUGAUCAGGGAGCAACCUACGGUGUCAAGAAUAUAAAACAAAAGAUCAGAAACACCAGAAAAUUGUGGGCUAAAAUGAGAUCGAGAGAUUCUCAGGAUUACAAUUUGAGGUGUCGACAUCAUCUGGAUUUACUUGACAGAUUAUUUGACCAGGCUGGUAGAGCUCAAUUAAGCAAGGAUGACAGUACUCAAUCAGAUGCUGAGAUAAAGACAUGCAAUCAAGUAGAUGAAGUGGAAAGUGCUGCACCUGAAUUAAAGAGGGAAAAGGUAAGCUUGCGAUUUGCAAUUCCAGUUUAA